UAGGGAAUCUUCCGCAAUGGGCGAAAGCCUGACGGAGCAACGCCGCGUGAGUGAUGAAGGUCUUCGGAUCGUAAAACUCUGUUAUUAGGGAAGAAUAAAUGUGUAAGUAACUAUGCACGUCUUGACGGCACCUAAUCAGAAAGCCACGGCUAACUACGUGCCAGCAGCCGCGGUAAUACGUAGGUGGCAAGCGUUAUCCGGAAUUAUUGGGCGUAAAGCGCGCGUAGGCGGUUUUUUAAGUCUGAUGUGAAAGCCCACGGCUCAACCGUGGAGGGUCAUUGGAAACUGGAAAACUUGAGUGCAGAAGAGGAAAGUGGAAUUCCAUGUGUAGCGGUGAAAUGCGCAGAGAUAUGGAGGAACACCAGUGGCGAAGGCGACUUUCUGGUCUGUAACUGACGCUGAUGUGCGAAAGCGUGGGGAUCAAACAGG
This 429-nucleotide ribosomal RNA is filed under the name Bacteroidota bacterium. Its description in RNAcentral is "Bacteroidetes bacterium partial 16S ribosomal RNA". It matches the Rfam family "Bacterial small subunit ribosomal RNA", at positions 355 to 776 of the family's 1533-position model. The record is from RNAcentral. Lineage: Bacteria; Pseudomonadati; Bacteroidota.